RNAcentral lists this ribosomal RNA (388 nucleotides) under uncultured bacterium. RNAcentral's name for it is "bacterial SSU rRNA". It matches the Rfam family "Bacterial small subunit ribosomal RNA", at positions 29 to 431 of the family's 1533-position model. The record is from RNAcentral.
AACGAACGCUGGCGGCAGGCUUAACACAUGCAAGUCGAACGCCCCGCAAGGGGAGUGGCAGACGGGUGAGUAACGCGUGGGAACGUGCCCUUCGGUUCGGGAUAACCCGGGGAAACUCGGGCUAAUACCGGAUACGUCCUGCCCCUUUAACAAGGGUGGGAGAAAGGUUUACUGCCGAAGGAUCGGCCCGCGUCGGAUUAGCUAGUUGGUGGGGUAAUGGCCCACCAAGGCGACGAUCCGUAGCUGGUCUGAGAGGAUGANCAGCCACACUGGGACUGAGACACGGCCCAGACUCCUACGGGAGGCAGCAGUGGGGAAUAUUGGACAAUGGGCGCAAGCCUGAUCCAGCGAUGCCGCGUGUGUGAAGAAGGCCUGCGGGUUGUAAAGC